UGAAUACGAGACGCUAAGGCGUCGAAGUAGUGUAUGUCAUACUUCCAAGAAAAGCUUGCACUGUCAUAAGUAAAAAAUGCCUGUACCAUAACCGACACAGGUGGGUAGGUAGAGUAUACUAAGGGGCGCGAGAUAACUCUCUCUAAGGAACUCGGCAAAAUAACUCCGUAACUUCGGGAGAAGGAGUACCUUAUUCUAUAAGGUUGCAAUAACAAGAUCCAAGCAACUGUUUAUCAAAAACACAGGUCUCCGCUAAGUCGUAAGACGAUGUAUGGGGGCUGACGCCUGCCCAGUGCCAGAAGGUUAAAGAAGUCGGUUAGCAUUAGCGAAGCUGGUAACUGAAGCCCUGGUGAACGGCGGCCGUAACUAUAACGGUCCUAAGGUAGCGAAAUCCCUUGUCGGGUAAGUUCCGACCCGCACGAAAGGCGUAAUGAUUUGGAUACUGUCUCGGAGAGGGGCUCGGUGAAAUAGACUUGUCUGUGAAGAUGCGGACUACCUGCACCAGGACAGAAAGACCCUAUGAAGCUUUACUGUAACUUGAAAUUGAAAUUGGACUUUAUUCGCGCAGUAUAGGUGGGAGGUGUUGAUUAUAAUCUUGCGGGAUUAUUGGAGCCAUCAGUGAGAUACCACUCUUAUAAUGUUAGAUUUCUAACUUUGAAUCAUUAUCUGGUCAAAGGACAGUUUCAGGCGGGCAGUUUGACUGGGGCGGUCGCCUCCCAAACGGUAACGGAGGCGUACAAAGGUUUCCUCUGAACGGGUAGAAAUCGUAUCUAGAGUGUAAAGGCAUAAGGAAGCUUGACUGUGAGACCUACAAGUCGAACAGGGACGAAAGUCGGUCUUAGUGAUCUGACGGUACUGAGUGGAAAGGCCGUCACUCAACGGAUAAAAGUUACUCUAGGAUAACAGGCUGAUCUCCCCCAAGAGUUCACAUCGACGGGGAGGUUUGGCACCUCGAUGUCGGCUCAUCGCAUCCUGGGGCGGUAGUACGUCCCAAGGGUUGGGCUGUUCGCCCAUGAAAGCGGUACGCGAGCUGGGUUCAGAACGUCGUGAGACAGUUCGGUCCAUAUCCGGUGUAGGCGUUAGAAUAUUGAGAGGAGCCUUCUUUAGUACGAGAGGACCGAGAAGGACAUACCUCUGGUGUACCAGUUAUCGUGCCAACGGUAAACGCUGGGUAGCUAUGUAUGGAGUGGAUAACCGCUGAAAGCAUCUAAGUGGGAAGCCCACCUCAAGAUAAGUAUUCGC
Molecule: ribosomal RNA, 1242 nt
Filed under: metagenome
Description: bacterial LSU rRNA
Rfam family: Bacterial large subunit ribosomal RNA
Source: RNAcentral